CCAAUCAAAAGCAGCUGACCUAACUGCUUCUCUAAGCUCUCCCCAAAGGCAGCACUACCAGUUGCAAAAUACCACAGCCCACGUUACUACUGACAGCCUGUCACAAAGGCAAACUAAGAAUGUUCUGCAAACGAGAUUAGCUGAUAAGCCGCUCAAGUCUCUAAAGUCUUAAACAAAGCAUCGGACCAAUCAUCAGCACACCACAUUGUACAGUAAAUGUACACUACAUAUAAUCAAUUAACACAUCCUAAUAAAUUCAUCACAUCACUUGGCACAAUUCCACAGAAUGUUUGAAUUUUGUGAACUACCAAUGAUGGAGCCCAAACUCGGUCAGGCAGUCAAACUGCUGCGUCGAGGCGAUUGAGGCUCCCAACGUUGAAGCCCCCGCCGGGCAAUGGAAGAUCCCGCGGCCGAUUUUUAGCCGCGCCGGGCGACAAAAGGUCCCGCAAAAGGGCCGAUUCAAGCCUUACGAUUCGGGGCAGAUGAAGCUGCUGUUGCUGAACCUCCCGAAAAUCAGUCACCAACAUGGGACCUGCGAGCUCCCGAUGUUGCAGUCCACAGGGCCCGGGGCCAAUGCCUCCAAAGUCGAGUCACAGCCGCAUUGCAGAGCCACCACAGCCUCCGAAAGUUAGUCAGCUCCGUGAUGGUAAGUCCACAGGCUCUGUGACCGGAGCCCUCAAUGUCGAUUACAGUUGGAGGCCGCUAGCUCCUCGAUGUUAGGCCUCAGCGCAAACGGAGAUAUGACAUGGAAAAAGGUCUCAUCUUCGUUGAAGGACAUUUUUUUUUAAGUUUCCCCACCCCCCACAUAAUACAUCUAAAAAUAGACUAAAACAUACAUCUAACAUUAACGAUAAGACAAAGAAAGAAAGAAGAAAGA
This is a long non-coding RNA of Leucoraja erinaceus (little skate), 877 nucleotides long. RefSeq lists it as uncharacterized. The record is from RefSeq and is a predicted model, not a curated record. Lineage: Eukaryota; Metazoa; Chordata; Chondrichthyes; Rajiformes; Rajidae. The transcript is spliced from 2 exons.